Molecule: ribosomal RNA, 253 nt
Filed under: uncultured bacterium
Lineage: Bacteria
Description: partial 16S ribosomal RNA
Rfam family: Bacterial small subunit ribosomal RNA
Source: RNAcentral
UACGAAGGGUGCAAGCGUUACUCGGAAUUACUGGGCGUAAAGCGUGCGUAGGUGGUUUGUUAAGUCCGUUGUGAAAGCCCUGGGCUCAACCUGGGAAUGGCAGUGGAUACUGGCAAGCUAGAGUGCGGUAGAGGGUAGUGGAAUUCCCGGUGUAGCAGUGAAAUGCGUAGAGAUCGGGAGGAACACCAGUGGCGAAGGCGGCUCUCUGGACCGAGACUGACGCUGAGGCGCGAAAGCGUGGGGAGCAAACAGG